GACGAACGCUGGCGGCGUGCCUAAUACAUGCAAGUAGGACGCAGUUGCGAACGGGUGAGUAACGCGUAGGUAACUACCUAUUAGAGGGGGAUAACUAUUGGAAACGAUAGCUAAUAACGCAUACUAGUAGAGGGACCUGCGUUGUAUUAGCUAGUAGGUAGGGUAACGGCCUAACUAGGCAACGAUACAUAGCCGACCUGGGAUGGUGAUCGGCCAAACUGGGAAUGGGACACGGCCCAGACUCCUACGGGAGGCAGCAGUAGGGAAUCUUCGGCAAUGGGGGGAACCCUGACCGAGCAACGCCGCGUGAGUGAAGAAGGGUUUCGGAUCGUAAAGCUCUGUUGUUAAGGAAGCGGUACUUAACCAGAAAGGGACGGCUAACUACGUGCCAGCAGCCGCGGUAAUAC
Molecule: ribosomal RNA, 407 nt
Filed under: uncultured bacterium
Lineage: Bacteria
Description: partial 16S ribosomal RNA
Rfam family: Bacterial small subunit ribosomal RNA
Source: RNAcentral